Molecule: ribosomal RNA, 473 nt
Filed under: uncultured bacterium
Lineage: Bacteria
Description: bacterial SSU rRNA
Rfam family: Bacterial small subunit ribosomal RNA
Source: RNAcentral
AGCAGAGCACUCCUACGGGAGGCAGCAGUGGGGAAUAUUGGACAAUGGGCGCAAGCCUGAUCCAGCCAUACCGCGUGGGUGAAGAAGGCCUUCGGGUUGUAAAGCCCUUUUGUUGGGAAAGAAAUCCAGCUGGCUAAUACCCGGUUGGGAUGACGGUACCCAAAGAAUAAGCACCGGCUAACUUCGUGCCAGCAGCCGCGGUAAUACGAAGGGUGCAAGCGUUACUCGGAAUUACUGGGCGUAAAGCGUGCGUAGGUGGUCGUUUAAGUCGUUGUGAAAGCCCUGGGCUCAACCUGGGAACUGCAGUGGAUACUGGGCGACUAGAGUGUGGUAGAGGGUAGCGGAAUUCCUGGUGUAGCAGUGAAAUGCGUAGAGAUCAGGAGGAACAUCCAUGGCGAAGGCAGCUACCUGGACCAACACUGACACUGAGGCACGAAAGCGUGGGGAGCAAACAGGAUUAGAUACCCUGGUAG